ACUUAAAUAGCUUAAUAAGAGCGUAACGUUGAAGGUGUUAAAGUGAUAAUUAUAUCUUUAAGUG
Molecule: transfer RNA, 64 nt
Filed under: Octopus variabilis
Lineage: Eukaryota; Metazoa; Mollusca; Cephalopoda; Octopoda; Octopodidae
Also listed under: 1 other name
Description: tRNA-Phe
Source: RNAcentral